GGGCCCCCCCGAAAUGUACCAAAUUUAAAGGGAGAAACCUAACUAGCCUUUACAUGUUGAGAAAUAACGAAAAAUAGAUUUGUUGGCUGAGAACACCAACACAAGAGGUGCGGGGCUGGAACACCCGGUGAGAUGUUGGUGGAAGCCAACAAGAGCAACCCGUUUUUUUUAGUGCGUAAUGGAGGGAACUAUGGAAAGCGCCGGUAACAAAACGAGAGGAAGGUGGGGAUGACGCACAAUGGCCCUUACGGGCAGGGCUACACACGUACUACAAUGGUAAGGACAGAGGGCUGCAAGCCGGCGACGGGAAGCCAACCAGAAACCCUAAGCGGAUUGGAGUGCAACGACCAUGAAGGAAAACUAUAACAAGCAUUGCUGCAGUGAAUACCUCCCGGCUGCACACACCG
This 407-nucleotide ribosomal RNA is filed under the name uncultured Pseudomonadota bacterium. RNAcentral's name for it is "uncultured proteobacterium partial 16S ribosomal RNA". Lineage: Bacteria; Pseudomonadati; Pseudomonadota. The record is from RNAcentral.